AGUUUCUCUGUGUUUUCAUGGCAAAUUGCAGAUUGACCUCAAAUUUAGGCUCAUAGGAGCUACUUAAACGAAUGAAUGGAUGAACUCAGAGAGUCUUGGUCUGUUCCCCGGGCUGGAAUGCAGUGGUGCAAUCUUGGCUCACUGCAGCCUCAACCUCCUGGACUCAAGCAAUCCUCCCACCUUGGCCUACAGAGUACCUGGGACUACAGCAUGCCACUCUGGGGGAGCUGGAAAGGAGACAACUUUCAGGGGACAUCAAAUUUGACAACUAUCUACACCAUAAAGCAUCUUCAUAAGAACCAAAAAUCAGAUGUUUUUUGCACAAGGUAGAAGAUGGGUGCAUCUGGUUUUCAGCUUCCUUGCGAAGGGUUUGAACAUCCUCCUUUAGCUCGGAGAAGUUUGUCAUUAUCGACCUUCUGAAGCCUACUUCUGUCAACUCGUCAAAGUCAUUGUCCGUCCAACUUUGUUUCGUUGCUGGUGAGGAGCUGCGAUCCUUUGGAGGAGAAGAGGUGCUCUUGUUGUUAGAAUUUUCAGCUUUUCUGCUCUGGUUUCUCCCCAUCUUUGUGGUUUUAUCUACCUUUGGUCUUUGAUGUUGGUGACCUACAGAUGGGGUUUUGGUAUGGAUGUCCUUUUUGUUGAUAUUGAUGCUAUCCCUUUCUGUUUGUUAGUUUUCCUUCUAACAGUCAGGUCCCUCAGCUGCAGGUCUGUUGGAGUUUGCUGGAAGUCCACUCCAGAUCCUGUUUGCCUGGGUAUCACCAGCAGAGGCUGCAGAACAGCAAAUAUUGCAUAACAGCAAAUAUUGUUGCCUGAUCCUUCCUCUGGAAGCUUCAUCCCAGAGGGGCACCUGUCUGUAUGAGGGGUCAGUCGGCCCAUACUGGGAGGUGUCUCCCAGUCAGGCUACAUGGGGGUCAGGGACCCACUUGAGGAGGCAGUCUGUCUGUUCUCAGAGCUCAAAUGCCACACUGGGAGAACCACUGCUCUCUUCAGAGCUGUCAGACAGGGACAUUUAAGACUGCAGAAGUUUUUGUUGCCUUUUGUUCAGCUAUGCUCUGCCCCCAAAGGUGGAGUCAGCAGAGGCAACAGGCCUUGCUGAGCUGUGGUGGGCGCC
Molecule: long non-coding RNA, 1108 nt
Organism: Homo sapiens (human)
Lineage: Eukaryota; Metazoa; Chordata; Mammalia; Primates; Hominidae
Source: Ensembl